UACGUAGGGUGCGAGCGUUGUCCGGAAUUAUUGGGCGUAAAGGGCUCGUAGGCGGUCUGUUGCGUCGGUAGUGAAAACUCAGGGCUUAACCCUGAGCCUGCUUCCGAUACGGGCAGACUAGAGGUAUGCAGGGGAGAACGGAAUUCCUGGUGUAGCGGUGAAAUGCGCAGAUAUCAGGAAGAACACCCGUGGCGAAGGCGGCUCUCUGGGACGGUACUGACGCUGAGACGCGAAAGCGUGGGGAGCGAACAGG
This 253-nucleotide ribosomal RNA is filed under the name uncultured bacterium. RNAcentral describes it as "partial 16S ribosomal RNA". It matches the Rfam family "Bacterial small subunit ribosomal RNA", at positions 524 to 776 of the family's 1533-position model. The record is from RNAcentral.